Molecule: long non-coding RNA, 1844 nt
Organism: Harpia harpyja (harpy eagle)
Lineage: Eukaryota; Metazoa; Chordata; Aves; Accipitriformes; Accipitridae
Exons: 4
Source: RefSeq, a predicted model, not a curated record
GGGAUUUUCAUGUAGAUCCAGUAACUGCUGUCCUACAGUUGUGACAGGAAUUCGAUCUUUCACUCUUCUGUGAAAUGCAACCGCUACCCCAGUGCUCAAUGUGCUCUGGACACCCCAUACUGGAGACCGGUUUGCUGCAGUGUUUGAUGAGAAGCCCCACUGAAGUCAAUUAAGAGACUUGUGCUUUAACCUAAAGGAAGGUCUGAUCAACUCCAAACGGAAAACAAAGAGAAAUUAAAACAAGAUUCUUUACCAGCAGAGAAGUACAAAAUGGGUACACUGGCUACCAGAGGAUGGAAGAGCAGAGAUGCCCCUCAAAAGCAGGCAAAAUUGCUGCCCUAAAUCACUGAGAUCAGGAAGUCUUUCUGGGAAAUUGCUGCUGUGUGUUUGUUCAUUUGGUCUCCUCUAGGAACGUGCUGUUGCCUGCUGCUGGAGGCAGAGUGCUGGGCUGCACCUGGCAAGGAGAGACGCAGGGUUAAACUUUGAUUCGUUCUCUCACAGGUAGUGCAACUCCCUUCCUUCCAGGUUAGUCAUCUAAAGCAGGCAAGCAGCACUUUUAUGCUAUUUUUCACAACUUGUCACCCUAAUGAGUUUCUGCAGGCGAGCCCAGCCUGGCAAGCAGGACCCUGGAGUCAGCAGUGGAUGAAGGUAUUCAGAAAGUCUGACCCAGAAAAAUGGCAGCUGAUCCACGCAGUCAUUUGCAUGGCUCUGCUCGUGGAAGGUUUUGGCUGCCUGAGGAUUUGUGCAGCUCCAUCUACAAGGGGAAGCAGAGAAACAGCACUGUCGUGACAGCAGUGACCAGCCCCAGUCUCCCAAGCCCCUGCGACUCACAUCUACAGCAAAGGGCUGAUGCAGCCAGAAGCACCUGCAGCAGCAACUUGUGCAUCGCACGAUGUCAAGCCUGCCUCCCUGAACCAGCCAGGAGCAGAGUCCGUCCCCAGCAGGAGGGAGCAGGGACCUAAGGAGAAGAAACGAGUGACUCGGGUUCCCGUCACCCAGUGGCACCUCCUUUAAAUGACUCAGGCUUUUUGGGGGCCACAAGAGAUCUCUUCCAUCCACAUAUGGAAGUUUCUGCAAGUGGUGGUACCCUGAAAAUGGAUACGACCACCCACAGCAGCUCCCAAAAUUAAUCCCUCUGUGAGCAACUACAGCUUUUCUUUAAGAAAACUGCCUUGUGAUCAGCAGCAGAGACUGUAGUACCACAGUCAUAGGCAAGAUGCUUCAGCAGUUCAUUGCCUCACUCAAAAUAGGCCUUAUUUGUUGCCUGAGUUCCCCUUGCUUCAUUUCCGCCUAGAUAUAUCUUUGCUUGUUGUAGUGAGAGCCCUGUUCUCUGAGAUUUAUCCCCCAGAUAUGGUACUAGACAGAGAUCAGCUUCAUUCCUUAACUCUCUUACUGACUGAGGUGUUGGAGGCUCCAAGUGUAGGAUAAUUUUUCAUCCCAUGACGAUACCUCUGAAGCUCUUCUUUUAACAAUUUGUGCCAUUCAUUUUGAACCUUGAACAUCAAAUGGGAUCCUGUAAUAUAACUUCUACCUGAAAUACCUGUUCCUACGGCAAGUGUGUGGAGUUACCCAGUACUGCAAAGGAAGCUCCAGUAUUUUCAAACUUUUACUGACAGUUCCAGUAAUUAAAAAAUCAUAAAUAUGUAUCAAAAGCAUGCCUGUCCAGCAAACAUCAUCCAUUACCUGGCCCUGCAGCUGCUGGUUCCCACUUCACUGAGAAGGUGGGAUUUUCCUCUGCCUGUCAGGGGCAGCUGUCUUCAUACUCAACCAUUUCCCAUGGUCUUGGUACCAUUACAAAUUUUAGCAGGCUAGAAUCUAUCUUUAGCUCUCCAGCUUAAAUGGAG